Molecule: ribosomal RNA, 539 nt
Filed under: uncultured bacterium
Lineage: Bacteria
Description: bacterial SSU rRNA
Rfam family: Bacterial small subunit ribosomal RNA
Source: RNAcentral
GAGGAAUAUUGGUCAAUGGACGAAAGUCUGAACCAGCCAAGUAGCGUGCAGGAUGACGGCCCUCUGGGUUGUAAACUGCUUUUAGUUGGGAAUAAAAAAGAGGACGUGUCCUCUAUUGUAUGUACCUUCAGAAAAAGGACCGGCUAAUUCCGUGCCAGCAGCCGCGGUAAUACGGAAGGUCCAGGCGGUAUCCGGAUUUAUUGGGUUUAAAGGGAGCGUAGGCGGAUUAUUAAGUCAGUGGUGAAAGACGGUGGCUCAACCAUCGUUAGCCAUUGAAACUGGUAGUCUUGAGUGCAGACAGGGAUGCUGGAACUCGUGGUGUAGCGGUGAAAUGCUUAGAUAUCACGAUGAACUCCGAUCGCGAAGGCAGGUGUCCGGGCUGCAACUGACGCUGAGGCUCGAAAGUGUGGGUAUCAAACAGGAUUAGAUACCCUGGUAGUCCACACAGUAAACGAUGUAUACUCGCGGUUUGCGAUAGACAGUAAGCCGCCAAGCGAAAGCAUUAAGUAUACCACCUGGGGAGUACGCCGGCAACGGUG